GUGGUGGCUCAGUGGCAGAGUGAUUGCUUCGCACCCUCAAGGCACUGGGUUCGAUCCUCAGCACCACA
RNAcentral lists this transfer RNA (68 nucleotides) under Marmota monax (woodchuck). RNAcentral's name for it is "tRNA.Undet". Lineage: Eukaryota; Metazoa; Chordata; Mammalia; Rodentia; Sciuridae. The record is from RNAcentral.